This 486-nucleotide ribosomal RNA is filed under the name uncultured bacterium. RNAcentral describes it as "partial 16S ribosomal RNA". It matches the Rfam family "Bacterial small subunit ribosomal RNA", at positions 30 to 507 of the family's 1533-position model. The record is from RNAcentral.
AUUGAACGCUGGCGGCAUGCCUUACACAUGCAAGUCGAACGGCAGCACGGGUGCUUGCACCUGGUGGCGAGUGGCGAACGGGUGAGUAAUACAUCGGAACAUGUCCUGUAGUGGGGGAUAGCCCGGCGAAAGCCGGAUUAAUACCGCAUACGAUCCACGGAUGAAAGCGGGGGACCUUCGGGCCUCGCGCUAUAGGGUUGGCCGAUGGCUGAUUAGCUAGUUGGUGGGGUAAAGGCCUACCAAGGCGACGAUCAGUAGCUGGUCUGAGAGGACGACCAGCCACACUGGGACUGAGACACGGCCCAGACUCCUACGGGAGGCAGCAGUGGGGAAUUUUGGACAAUGGGCGAAAGCCUGAUCCAGCAAUGCCGCGUGUGUGAAGAAGGCCUUCGGGUUGUAAAGCACUUUUGUCCGGAAAGAAAUCCUUGGCUCUAAUACAGUCGGGGGAUGACGGUACCAGAAGAAUAAGCACCGGCUAACUACGUG